GAUGAACGCUGGCUACAGGCUUAACACAUGCAAGUCGAGGGGAAACGACGGGGAAGCUUGCUUCCCCGGGCGUCGACCGGCGCACGGGUGAGUAACGCGUAUCCAACCUGCCUCUGACUGAGGGAUAACCCGUCGAAAGUCGGCCUAAUACCUCAUGGUAUCGUCUGCGGGCAUCCAACGACGAUUAAAGAUUUCAUCGGUCAGGGAUGGGGAUGCGUCUGAUUAGCUUGUUGGCGGGGUAACGGCCCACCAAGGCUACGAUCAGUAGGGGUUCUGAGAGGAAGGUCCCCCACAUUGGAACUGAGACACGGUCCAAACUCCUACGGGAGGCAGCAGUGAGGAAUAUUGGUCAAUGGGCGAGAGCCUGAACCAGCCAAGUAGCGUGCAGGAAGACGGCACUAUGGGUUGUAAACUGCUUUUAUGCGGGGAUAAAGUGAGGGACGUGUCCCUCAUUGCAGGUACCGCAUGAAUAAGGACCGGCUAAUUCCGUG
This 491-nucleotide ribosomal RNA is filed under the name uncultured bacterium. RNAcentral's name for it is "partial 16S ribosomal RNA". It matches the Rfam family "Bacterial small subunit ribosomal RNA", at positions 28 to 507 of the family's 1533-position model. The record is from RNAcentral.